GACAGAGGGUGCAAACGUUGCUCGGAAUUACUGGGCGUAAAGCGCGUGUAGGCGGUUACGCGAGUCAGGUGUGAAAGCCCGGGGCUCAACCCCGGAGGUGCGGCCGGGACUGCUUGGCUCGAGUCUCGGAGAGGAAGGUGGAAUGCUUGGUGUAGAGGUGAAAUUCGUAGAUAUCAAGCAGAACACCUGCGGCGAAGGCGGCCUUCUGGACGAUGACUGACGCUGAGACGCGAAAGCGUGGGGAGCAAACAGG
This 253-nucleotide ribosomal RNA is filed under the name uncultured bacterium. RNAcentral describes it as "partial 16S ribosomal RNA". It matches the Rfam family "Bacterial small subunit ribosomal RNA", at positions 524 to 776 of the family's 1533-position model. The record is from RNAcentral.